UUCCGGUUGAUCCUGCCGGACCUGACUGCUAUCGGAUUGAUACUAAGCCAUGCGAGUCUUUGCAGUAAUGCAAGGCAUACGGCUCAGUAACACGUAGUCAACUUACCCUAUGGACGAGGAUAAUCUCGGGAAACUGAGCAUAAUACUCGAUAGAUCAUAAUGCCUGGAAUGGUUUAUGGUUGAAAUGAUUCGUCGCCAUAGGAUGGGACUGCGGCCUAUCAGCUUGUUGGUGAGGUAAUGGCCCACCAAGGCGAUUACAGGUACGGGCUCUGAGAGGAGAAGCCCGGAGAUGGGUACUGAGACAAGGACCCAGGCCCUAUGGGGCGCAGCAGGCGAGAAAACUUUGCAAUGUGCGAAAGCACGACAAGGUUAAUCCGAGUGAUUUCUGCUAAAGAAAUCUUUUGCAAGUCGUAAAACCACUAGUGAAUAAGGGGUGGGCAAGUUCUGGUGUCAGCCGCCGCGGUAAAACCAACACCUCAAGUGGUCAGGAGGAUUAUUGGGCCUAAAGCAUCCGUAGCCUGCUUUGUUAGUUUUCGGUUAAAUCCAUGUGCUCAACGCAUGGGCUGCCGAAAAUACUGCAUAGCUAGGGAGUGGGAGAGGUAGACGGUACUCGGUAGGAAGGGGUAAAAUCCUUUGAUCUAUCGAUGACCACCUGUGGCGAAGGCGGUCUACCAGAACACGUUCGACGGUGAGGGAUGAAAGCUGGGGGAGCAAACCGGAUUAGAUACCCGGGUAGUCCCAGCCGUAAACGAUGCAGACUCGAUGAUGCAUUGGCAUAUAGCCAGUGCAGUGUCGCAGGGAAGCCGUUAAGUCUGCCGCCUGGGAAGUACGUACGCAAGUAUGAAACUUAAAGGAAUUGGCGGGGGAGCACCACAAGGGGUGAAGCCUGCGGUUCAAUUGGAGUCAACGCCGGAA
Molecule: ribosomal RNA, 915 nt
Filed under: uncultured archaeon
Lineage: Archaea
Description: bacterial SSU rRNA
Rfam family: Archaeal small subunit ribosomal RNA
Source: RNAcentral